This 73-nucleotide transfer RNA is filed under the name Actinomycetota bacterium. RNAcentral describes it as "tRNA-Thr". It matches the Rfam family "tRNA". From Rfam's summary of the family: Transfer RNA (tRNA) molecules are approximately 80 nucleotides in length. Their secondary structure includes four short double-helical elements and three loops (D, anti-codon, and T loops). Further hydrogen bonds mediate the characteristic L-shaped molecular structure. tRNAs have two regions of fundamental functional importance: the anti-codon, which is responsible for specific mRNA codon recognition, and the 3' end, to which the tRNAs corresponding amino acid is attached (by aminoacyl-tRNA synthetases). tRNAs cope with the degeneracy of the genetic code in two manners: having more than one tRNA (with a specific anti-codon) for a particular amino acid; and 'wobble' base-pairing, i.e. permitting non-standard base-pairing at the 3rd anti-codon position. The record is from RNAcentral. Lineage: Bacteria; Bacillati; Actinomycetota.
GCCCGGAUAGCUCAGUCGGUAGAGCACUUCCAUGGUAAGGAAGGGGUCACGAGUUCGAAUCUCGUUCCGGGCU